AGAGUUUGAUCCUGGCUCAGGAUGAACGCUGGCGGCGUGCUUAACACAUGCAAGUCGAACGAUGAAGCGGUGCUUGCACCGUGGAUUAGUGGCGAACGGGUGAGUAACACGUGAGUAACCUGCCCUUGACUCUGGGAUAAGCCUGGGAAACUGGGUCUAAUACUGGAUAUGACUGAUCAUCGCAUGGUGGUUGGUGGAAAGCUUUUGUGGUUUUGGAUGGACUCGCGGCCUAUCAGCUUGUUGGUGGGGUAAUGGCUUACCAAGGCGACGACGGGUAGCCGGCCUGAGAGGGUGGACGGCCACACUGGGACUGAGACACGGCCCAGACUCCUACGGGAGGCAGCAGUGGGGAAUAUUGCACAAUGGGCGCAAGCCUGAUGCAGCGACGCCGCGUGAGGGAUGAAGGCCUUCGGGUUGUAAACCUCUUUCAGUAGGGAACAAGCCUUUUGGGGUGAGGGUACCUGCAGAAGAAGCGCCGGCUAACUACGUGCCAGCAGCCGCGGUAAUACGUAGGGCGCAAGCGUUAUCCGGAAUUAUUGGGCGUAAAGAGCUCGUAGGCGGUUUGUCGCGUCUGCCGUGAAAGUCCGGGGCUUAACUCCGGAUCUGCGGUGGGUACGGGCAGACUUGAGUGAUGUAGGGGAGACUGGAAUUCCUGGUGUAGCGGUGAAAUGCGCAGAUAUCAGGAGGAACACCGAUGGCGAAGGCAGGUCUCUGGGCAUUAACUGACGCUGAGGAGCGAAAGCAUGGGGAGCGAACAGGAUUAGAUACCCUGGUAGUCCAUGCCGUAAACGUUGGGCACUAGGUGUGGGGGACAUUCCACGUUUUCCGCGCCGUAGCUAACGCAUUAAGUGCCCCGCCUGGGGAGUACGGCCGCAA
Molecule: ribosomal RNA, 876 nt
Filed under: uncultured bacterium
Lineage: Bacteria
Description: bacterial SSU rRNA
Rfam family: Bacterial small subunit ribosomal RNA
Source: RNAcentral